GGACAUGAGGGUGAUCUGGCUGUGACAUCUGUCACACCCCACAGAUCAAUUGCCAGUGCUGAUUCGGCUGAUAUGGCUCAUCACUCCAUGUAUGUCUCUCCUGAAGCUGCACGCUCGGUCAAAGAUGACGACCUUUCCCAAAUAGAGGACCAGUCUUCGGUGAAGAGUAUACGAGUAGCUGCACUUCCCUGCAAACUAGAACCUCCAAACAAGUUCCCAAAUAAGCAAAUUACAAAAAUAAGUAAAUAUUUUUAAAAAAGAUUUU
This 265-nucleotide small nuclear RNA is filed under the name Jaculus jaculus (lesser Egyptian jerboa). Its description in RNAcentral is "7SK RNA (ENSJJAG00000007056.1)". It matches the Rfam family "7SK RNA". Rfam says of the family: 7SK was discovered as an abundant small nuclear RNA in the mid-70s but a possible function has only recently been suggested. Two independent studies have found that 7SK RNA binds the CDK9/cyclin T complex (known as elongation factor P-TEFb). The record is from RNAcentral. Lineage: Eukaryota; Metazoa; Chordata; Mammalia; Rodentia; Dipodidae.